GGGGGCAUAAGCUCAAUGGCAAACUGCGGGACUCCAAAUCCUGACUUCUAGGUUCGAAUCCUAGUGCCCCCGCCU
Molecule: transfer RNA, 75 nt
Filed under: Candidatus Yanofskybacteria bacterium RIFCSPHIGHO2_12_FULL_45_19b
Lineage: Bacteria; Candidatus Yanofskyibacteriota
Also listed under: 1 other name
Description: tRNA-Trp
Rfam family: tRNA
About the family: Transfer RNA (tRNA) molecules are approximately 80 nucleotides in length. Their secondary structure includes four short double-helical elements and three loops (D, anti-codon, and T loops).
Source: RNAcentral